This 878-nucleotide ribosomal RNA is filed under the name uncultured Mycoplasma sp. RNAcentral describes it as "bacterial SSU rRNA". It matches the Rfam family "Bacterial small subunit ribosomal RNA", at positions 499 to 1387 of the family's 1533-position model. Lineage: Bacteria; Bacillati; Mycoplasmatota; Mollicutes; Mycoplasmatales; Mycoplasmataceae. The record is from RNAcentral.
AACUAUGUGCCAGCAGCCGCGGUAAUACAUAGGUCACGAGCGUUAUCCGGAAUUAUUGGGCGUAAAGAGUUCGUAGGUUGUUUGUUAAGUCUGGAGUUAAAGCCCGAAGCUCAACUUCGGUUCGCUUUAGAUACUGGCAAACUAGAAUUACAAAGAGGUUAGCGGAAUUCCUAGUGAAGCGGUGGAAUGCGUAGAUAUUAGGAAGAACACCAAUAGGCGAAGGCAGCUAACUGGUUGUCAAUUGACACUGAGGAACGAAAGCGUGGGGAGCAAACAGGAUUAGAUACCCUGGUAGUCCACGCCGUAAACGUUGAUCAUUAGUCGGUAGAAGAAUUUACUGACGCAGCUAACGCAUUAAAUGAUCCGCCUGAGUAGUAUGCUCGCAAGAGUGAAACUUAAAGGAAUUGACGGGGACCCGCACAAGCGGAGGAGCAUGUGGUUUAAUUUGAAGAUACGCGUAGAACCUUACCCACUCUUGACAUCCCUUGCAAUGCUAUAGAGAUAUAGCGGAGGUUAACAAGGUGACAGAUGGUGCAUGGUUGUCGUCAGCUCGUGUCGUGAGAUGUUAGGUUAAGUCCUGCAACGAGCGCAACCCUUGUCUUUAGUUACUAACGAGUAAUGUCGAGGACUCUAGAGAGACUGCCUGGGUAACCAGGAGGAAGGUGGGGACGACGUCAAAUCAUCAUGCCUCUUACGAGUGGGGCAACACACGUGCUACAAUGGUUGGUACAAAGAGAAGCAAUAUGGUGACAUGGAGCAAACCUCAAAAAACCAAUCUCAGUUCGGAUUGAAGUCUGCAACUCGACUUCAUGAAGUCGGAUUCGCUAGUAAUCGCAGAUCAGCUACGCUGCGGUGAAUACGUUCUCAGGUCUUGUACA